Molecule: ribosomal RNA, 466 nt
Filed under: uncultured bacterium
Lineage: Bacteria
Description: bacterial SSU rRNA
Rfam family: Bacterial small subunit ribosomal RNA
Source: RNAcentral
AGUGAACGCUGGCGGCGUGCUUAACACAUGCAAGUCGAACGAGAACGGGUUAUAGCUUGCUAUAAUGUCAGCUAAGUGGCGNACGGUGAGUAAUGUAUAGGUAAUAUGCCUCUUACUAAGGGAUAACAAAUGGAAACGUUUGCUAAUACCUUAUACUCCUUAUUAACAGAAGUUAAUAAGGGAAAGAUUUAUUGGUAAGAGAUUAGCCUGUAUUGUAUCAGUUAGUUGGUUAGGUAAAGGCUGACCAAGGCGACGAUCGGUAGCUGGUCUGAGAGGAUGAUCAGCCACACUGGAACUGAGACACGGUCCAGACUCCUACGGGAGGCAGCAGUGGGGAAUAUUGGACAAUGGGCGCAAGCCUGAUCCAGCAAUUCCGCGUGGGUGAAGAAGGUCUUCGGAUUGUAAAGCCCUUUCGUUGGGGACGAUGAUGACGGUACCCAAAGAAGAAGCCCCGGCUAACUUCGUG